GACGUAGGGCGCGAGCGUUGUCCGGAUUUAUUGGGCGUAAAGAGCUCGUAGGCGGCUUGUCGCGUCGUCCGUGAAAACCAGGGGCUCAACCCCUGGCUUGCGGUCGAUACGGGCAGGCUAGAGUUCGGUAGGGGAGACUGGAAUUCCUGGUGUAGCGGUGAAAUGCGCAGAUAUCAGGAGGAACACCGGUGGCGAAGGCGGGUCUCUGGGCCGAUACUGACGCUGAGGAGCGAAAGCUAGGGGAGCAAACAGG
This 253-nucleotide ribosomal RNA is filed under the name uncultured bacterium. Its description in RNAcentral is "partial 16S ribosomal RNA". It matches the Rfam family "Bacterial small subunit ribosomal RNA", at positions 524 to 776 of the family's 1533-position model. The record is from RNAcentral.